RNAcentral lists this ribosomal RNA (486 nucleotides) under uncultured bacterium. Its description in RNAcentral is "bacterial SSU rRNA". It matches the Rfam family "Bacterial small subunit ribosomal RNA", at positions 28 to 496 of the family's 1533-position model. The record is from RNAcentral.
GACGAACGCUGGCGGCGUGCCUAACACAUGCAAGUCGAACGGAGUUCUUGUGAUUGAAGCUUCGGCAGAUUUCACUUGAACUUAGUGGCGGACGGGUGAGUAACGCGUGGGUAACCUGCCGUAUGCAGGGGGACAACAGUUGGAAACGACUGCUAAUACCGCAUAAGCGCACAGCAUCGCAUGAUGCAGUGUGAAAAGCCGAGACGGCAUACGAUGGACCCGCGUCUGAUUAGCUAGUUGGUGAGGUAACGGCUCACCAAGGCGACGAUGCAUAGGGGUUCUGAGAGGAAGGUCCCCCACACUGGUACUGAGACACGGACCAGACUCCUACGGGAGGCAGCAGUGAGGAAUAUUGGUCAAUGGUCGAGAGACUGAACCAGCCAAGUCGCGUGAGGGAAGACUGCCCUAUGGGUUGUAAACCUCUUUAGUCGGGAGCAAAAAAGCGGACGUGUCCGCCAUUGAGCGUACCCGAAGAAUAAGCAUCGG